GCCUAACACAUGCAAGCCGAGGGGUAAGUCUCUUUCGGGAGAACACGACCGGCGCACGGGUGAGUAACGCGUAUGCAACCUACCUUUGGCACGGGGACAGCCCGGGGAAACCCGGAUUAAUACCCGGUAUAGUCUGUUAUACACCUGUAUAAAAGACGAGAGCUACGGCGGCCAAAGAUGGGCAUGCGUGCCAUUAGUUAGUUGGUAGGGUAACGGCCUACCAAGGCAUCGAUGGCUACGGGGUCUAAAAGGAUGAGCCCGCACACUGGUACUGAGACACGGACCAGACUCCUACGGGAGGCAGCAGUGAGGAAUAUUGGUCAAUGGGUGGAAGCCUGAACCAGCCAUGCCGCGUGCAGGAAGACGGCCUUAUGGGUUGUAAACUGCUUUUCUACGGGACGAACGGCUCUGACGUGUCAGAGAUUGACGGUACCGUAGGAAUAAGCAUCGGCUAACUCCGUGCCAGCAGCCGCGGUAAUACGGAGGAUGCGAGCGUUAUCCGGAUUUAUUAGGUUUAAAGGGUGCGUAGGCUGGGCAAUAAGUCAGUGGUGAAAGUCCGCGGCUCAACCGUGGGAUUGCCAUUGAAACUGUUGUUCUUGAGUACAGUCGAGGUAGGCGGAAUGUGUAAUGUAGCGGUGAAAUGCAUAGAUAUUACCCAGAACACCGAUUGCGUAGGCAGCUUACCAGCCUGGAACUGACGCUGAUGCACGAAAGCGUGGGGAGCGAACAGGAUUAGAUACCCUGGUAGUCCACGCCGUAAACGAUGAUCACUCGCUGUUGGCCAAUUAUAGAGUCAAGCGGGCUGAGCGGAAAAGCAAUUAAGUGAUGCCACCUGGGGAGUACGUCGGCAACGAUUAAACUUCAAAGGAAUUG
This 873-nucleotide ribosomal RNA is filed under the name uncultured organism. RNAcentral describes it as "bacterial SSU rRNA". It matches the Rfam family "Bacterial small subunit ribosomal RNA", at positions 46 to 912 of the family's 1533-position model. The record is from RNAcentral.